RNAcentral lists this ribosomal RNA (465 nucleotides) under uncultured bacterium. Its description in RNAcentral is "partial 16S ribosomal RNA". It matches the Rfam family "Bacterial small subunit ribosomal RNA", at positions 28 to 507 of the family's 1533-position model. The record is from RNAcentral.
GACGAACGCUGGCGGCGUGCUUAACACAUGCAAGUCGAACGGUGAACCUGCUUCGGUGGGGGAUCAGUGGCGAACGGGUGAGUAACACGUGGGCAACCUGCCCUCAGCUCUGGGAUAACUCCAAGAAAUUGGGGCUAAUACUGGAUAUGACCGCUGACCGCAUGGUCUGGUGGUGGGAAGAUUUAUCGGCUGGGGAUGGGCCCGCGGCCUAUCAGCUUGUUGGUGGGGUAGUGGCCUACCAAGGCGACGACGGGUAGCCGGCCUGAGAGGGUGACCGGCCACACUGGGACUGAGACACGGACCAGACUCCUACGGGAGGCAGCAGUGGGGAAUAUUGCGCAAUGGGCGCAAGCCUGACGCAGCGACGCCGCGUGGGGGAUGACGGCCUUCGGGUUGUAAACCUCUUUCAGCAGGGACGAAGCGAAAGUGACGGUACCUGCAGAAGAAGCACCGGCCAACUACGUG